GCGAGAGUGGCGGAAUGGCAGACGCGCUGGACUUAGGAUCCAGUCCGCCUUUGGCGGAUGGGGGUUCAAGUCCCCCCUCUCGCA
This 84-nucleotide transfer RNA is filed under the name Candidatus Methylomirabilis lanthanidiphila. It matches the Rfam family "tRNA". From Rfam's summary of the family: Transfer RNA (tRNA) molecules are approximately 80 nucleotides in length. Their secondary structure includes four short double-helical elements and three loops (D, anti-codon, and T loops). The record is from Rfam by way of RNAcentral. Lineage: Bacteria; Methylomirabilota (SeqCode); Methylomirabilia (SeqCode); Methylomirabilales (SeqCode); Methylomirabilaceae (SeqCode).